GACGAACGCUGGCGGCGUGCUUAACACAUGCAAGUCGUACGGUAAGGCCCUUUCGGGGGUACACGAGUGGCGAACGGGUGAGUAACACGUCAGUAACCUGCCCACAACUUUGGGAUAACGCUAGGAAACUGGUGCUAAUACUGGAUAUGUGCUCCUGCUGCAUGGUGGGGGUUGGAAAGCUCCGGCGGUUGUGGAUGGACUCGCGGCCUAUCAGCUUGUUGGUGGGGUAGUGGCCUACCAAGGCGGCGACGGGUAGCCGGCCUGAGAGGGUGACCGGCCACAUUGGGACUGAGAUACGGCCCAGACUCCUACGGGAGGCAGCAGUGGGGAAUAUUGCACAAUGGGCGCAAGCCUGAUGCAGCAACGCCGCGUGCGGGAUGACGGCCUUCGGGUUGUAAACCGCUUUCAGCAGGGACGAAGCUUUUUGUGACGGUACCUGCAGAAGAAGCACCGGCUAACUACGUG
RNAcentral lists this ribosomal RNA (465 nucleotides) under uncultured bacterium. RNAcentral describes it as "partial 16S ribosomal RNA". It matches the Rfam family "Bacterial small subunit ribosomal RNA", at positions 28 to 507 of the family's 1533-position model. The record is from RNAcentral.